GAUGAACGCUAGCUACAGGCUUGACACAUGCAAGUCGAGGGGAAACGAUAGAGAAAGCUUGCUUUUUCUAGGCGUCGACCGGCGCACGGGUGAGUAACGCGUAUCCAACCUGCCCAUCACUUGGGGAUAACCUUGCGAAAGUAAGACUAAUACCCAAUGACGUCCAUAGAAGACAUCUGAAAUGGAUUAAAGAUUUAUCGGUGAUGGAUGGGGAUGCGUCUGAUUAGCUUGUUGGCGGGGUAACGGCCCACCAAGGCGACGAUCAGUAGGGGUUCUGAGAGGAAGGUCCCCCACAUUGGAACUGAGGCACGGUCCAAACUCCUACGGGAGGCAGCAGUGAGGAAUAUUGGUCAAUGGACGAGGGUCUGAACCAGCCAAGUAGCGUGCAGGAUGACGGCCCUAUGGGUUGUAAACUGCUUUCAUAAGGGAAUAAAGUGGGAGUCGUGACUCCUUUUGCAUGUACCUUAUGAAUAAGGACCGGCUAAUUCCGUGCCAGCAGCCGCGGUAA
Molecule: ribosomal RNA, 508 nt
Filed under: uncultured bacterium
Lineage: Bacteria
Description: partial 16S ribosomal RNA
Rfam family: Bacterial small subunit ribosomal RNA
Source: RNAcentral